This 481-nucleotide ribosomal RNA is filed under the name uncultured bacterium. Its description in RNAcentral is "bacterial SSU rRNA". It matches the Rfam family "Bacterial small subunit ribosomal RNA", at positions 28 to 523 of the family's 1533-position model. The record is from RNAcentral.
GACGAACGCUGGCGGCGUGCUUAACACAUGCAAGUCGAGCGGUAAGGCCCUUUCGGGGGUACACGAGCGGCGAACGGGUGAGUAACACGUGAGCAAUCUGCCCUUCACUUGGGGAUAACCACCGGAAACGGUGGCUAAUACCGAAUACGACCGCCCCGGGCAUCCGGUGGUGGUGGAAAGUUCUGGCGGUGGAGGAUGAGCUCGCGGCCUAUCAGCUUGUUGGUGGGGUAAUGGCCUACCAAGGCGACGACGGGUAGCCGGCCUGAGAGGGUGACCGGCCACACUGGGACUGAGACACGGCCCAGACUCCUACGGGAGGCAGCAGUGGGGAAUAUUGGACAAUGGGCGAAAGCCUGAUCCAGCAACGCCGCGUGAGGGAUGACGGCCUUCGGGUUGUAAACCUCUUUCAGUAGGGACGAAGCGUAAGUGACGGUACCUACAGAAGAAGCACCGGCCAACUACGUGCCAGCCGCCGCGGUAA